UACGUAGGCAGCGAGCGUUGUUCGGAGUUACUGGGCGUAAAGGGUGCGCAGGUGGCUGGGUGUGUGAGGCGUGAAAGCCCGGGGCUUAACCCCGGAAUUGCACCUCAAACUACACGGCUAGAGCAUUGGAGAGGGGAGCAGAAUUCACGGUGUGGCAGUGAAAUGCGUAGAUAUCGUGAGGAAUACCAGAGGCGAAGGCGGCUCCCUGGACAAUUGCUGACACUCAGGCACGAAAGCGUGGGGAGCAAAAGGG
Molecule: ribosomal RNA, 253 nt
Filed under: uncultured prokaryote
Description: partial 16S ribosomal RNA
Rfam family: Bacterial small subunit ribosomal RNA
Source: RNAcentral